UGGGGAAUUUUGGACAAUGGGCGAAAGCCUGAUCCAGCAAUGCCGCGUGUGUGAAGAAGGCCUUCGGGUUGUAAAGCACUUUUGUCCGGAAAGAAAUCCUUGGCUCUAAUACAGUCGGGGGAUGACGGUACCGGAAGAGUAAGCACCGGCUAACUACGUGCCAGCAGCCGCGGUAAUACGUAGGGUGCAAGCGUUAAUCGGAAUUACUGGGCGUAAAGCGUGCGCAGGCGGUUUGCUAAGACCGAUGUGAAAUCCCCGGGCUCAACCUGGGAACUGCAUUGGUGACUGGCAGGCUAGAGUAUGGCAGAGGGGGGUAGAAUUCCACGUGUAGCAGUGAAAUGCGUAGAGAUGUGGAGGAAUACCGAUGGCGAAGGCAGCCCCCUGGGCCAAUACUGACGCUCAUGCACGAAAGCGUGGGGAGCAAACAGGAUUAGAUACCCUGGUAGUCCACGCCCUAAACGAUGUCAACUAGUUGUUGGGGAUUCAUUUCCUUAGUAACGUAGCUAACGCGUGAAGUUGACCGCCUGGGGAGUACGGUCGCAAGAUUAAAACUCAAAGGAAUUGACGGGGGUCAUAGCUGUUUCCUG
RNAcentral lists this ribosomal RNA (587 nucleotides) under uncultured bacterium. Its description in RNAcentral is "partial 16S ribosomal RNA". It matches the Rfam family "Bacterial small subunit ribosomal RNA", at positions 355 to 941 of the family's 1533-position model. The record is from RNAcentral.